AAAAAAAAAGAGAGGGGUGGACGGGCCGGCCCGAAAAGACCGGGCCCAUCCACCAUAUACGGAUGAGGCAGCAGCGGCGCUAGAGAGGGCGAUCGCCGGAGGAGGCCGGUCGUCGGGGGAGCAUGACCGCCGGAGAAGAGGGCGAUCGUGGGGGAAGGCGGCGGAUUUCGCAAGCCGGCGGGUCAAGGAGGAGGAUCCCCACCAAACACACGAAGAGGCCUCGGAUCCGUGGGUUUACUCACGGAUUUCUCCACUGAUUUCUCGCCGGAAGGGCCGCCGGAGCAUCCUGCCGGACCGAGGUAAGUCCUUGUGCUUCAUUGAUUGGUUUUUGGGUGGUGUUGGUGGAGUUUUGGCCGGUGAAGCCGUCGAAGAGGGAUCCGAAACAGGGUACCCCUGUUUCGGCCCCUUUCUUU
This 413-nucleotide long non-coding RNA is filed under the name Phoenix dactylifera (date palm). Its description in RNAcentral is "long non-coding RNA (PDAC_LNC013877)". Lineage: Eukaryota; Viridiplantae; Streptophyta; Magnoliopsida; Arecales; Arecaceae. The record is from RNAcentral.